Leucoraja erinaceus (little skate) is the source of this 855-nucleotide long non-coding RNA. RefSeq lists it as uncharacterized. NCBI's taxonomy places the organism in Eukaryota, Metazoa, Chordata, Chondrichthyes, Rajiformes, Rajidae. The transcript is spliced from 2 exons. The record is from RefSeq and is a predicted model, not a curated record.
GGCGAAUGUACAACAGCAUCCGAGCAGCACCUAUGUUAUUCUCACUAAACUAAACACCCACUGUGCCUUAUUUUGGUGACUGGUGUUUUUGGAGGGGUUAGUUUUUUCACAACACAAUGUCCAUUAAAAGUGUUUACUUUGCAGACUCUCGUUGUAAUAAUACGGUGCACAGAGUUAGUCAGACUUUGGACUCUGGCACAUUUUUCAACCAAAUAUAAUGAACCAAACGAUAAUGAAGAGUUGGACCUUUGCCAGUACAAGUCAAAAAAUCGUUUUAGUGGAAAACGCUCCAACAGUGUCCCGUCUGGAAGAGCAGAGUGUGUCUGAAAACGGAGGUAACAACAUCGCCCCAGAAGUAGGUUCCCGGAAAUGGCGGACGGACAUUAAUACAUAACUUCUCACAUAAUCACAUGGUGAUUAAUGCGCAACUCUAUUUUCCCAGUCCCGCCCACAUUGUAUACUAUUGCCUUCAUAUCUAAAGGCACAGAGGAGCAUAAAGAAACUGUUGUUUGUCAAUUCCAAGUGAUAGACUUAACAGAAAUGUAAAUGGACCCUGGGAUAUCGAACCUUCAAAUCAUGUAUUAUGCGAACGGUAUCGUCAACAUGUUUAGUUAAGACCUAAAACUCGAAAUGGCUAAAUCUGUAAUAUAGCCAAAAUUAAAAAAUUGGCAGAGCUUGUAUUUGUGCACAAUGUUUUAAAUGUUCUGUUUGACCACAUAUUUAAGGUCGACCCCCAUCCCUCGACAGAUCAUUGCGUGUUAGAGCUACUGAUUUACUCUCAGAAUAUUAACAUUAAAGAUUCGGGUGUGUUUUUUGUCCAUAAUUGGUGAUAAUUAAAAUUAAUUGACCAAACAA